AUCCUCCAAGGAAUGGGCAAAGAAACACUUUGUAGGAGGUGUUGAUCUUAUAUUUGUUAGGGGAAGAGCACAUGGCAAUCCUUUGUUCAUCCUAGUUCAAUGUGUACUUUGGUGGCAAUGCCAUUUUAUAGCUAGGGCAUAUAA
This is a small nucleolar RNA of Rattus norvegicus (Norway rat), 144 nucleotides long. Ensembl annotates it as small nucleolar RNA SNORA48. The record is from Ensembl. Lineage: Eukaryota; Metazoa; Chordata; Mammalia; Rodentia; Muridae.